This 253-nucleotide ribosomal RNA is filed under the name uncultured bacterium. RNAcentral describes it as "partial 16S ribosomal RNA". It matches the Rfam family "Bacterial small subunit ribosomal RNA", at positions 524 to 776 of the family's 1533-position model. The record is from RNAcentral.
UACGUAGGUGGCAAGCGUUGUCCGGAUUUAUUGGGUUUAAAGGGUGCGUAGGCGGCUUUAUAAGUCAGUGGUGAAAUACGGUAGCUUAACUAUCGAGGUGCCAAUGAUACUGCAAAGCUUGAGUGCAGACGAGGUAUGCGGAAUUGACGGUGUAGCGGUGAAAUGCUUAGAUAUCGUCAAGAACACCGAUAGCGAAGGCAGCAUACCAGACUGUAACUGACGCUGAGGCACGAAAGUGUGGGGAUCAAACAGG